Molecule: ribosomal RNA, 254 nt
Filed under: uncultured bacterium
Lineage: Bacteria
Description: partial 16S ribosomal RNA
Rfam family: Bacterial small subunit ribosomal RNA
Source: RNAcentral
UACGUAGGGGGCGAGCGUUGUCCGGAUUCAUUGGGCGUAAAGAGCUCGUAGGCGGCUUGGCAAGUCGGGUGUGAAAACUCCAGGCUCAACCUGGAGACGCCACUCGAUACUGCCAUGGCUUGAGUCUGGUAGGGGAUCACGGAAUUCCUGGUGUAGCGGUGAAAUGCGCAGAUAUCAGGAGGAACACCGGUGGCGAAGGCGGUGAUCUGGGCCAGUACUGACGCUGAGACGCGAAAGCGUGGGGAGCGAACAGG